RNAcentral lists this long non-coding RNA (663 nucleotides) under Struthio camelus australis. RNAcentral's name for it is "lncRNA (ENSSCUG00000000350.1)". The record is from RNAcentral. Lineage: Eukaryota; Metazoa; Chordata; Aves; Struthioniformes; Struthionidae.
AGGACAUGGUUGGCUGAGGAAGGCAGCAGAAUCACAGCAUGCGGUGGGGGCUUGCAGUUCAUGUCCUGAAGGAAAAUUUUGAGAGGAGCAGGGAGCUAACAACCAUGGCUCUGAAGUAAAAGUAAGAGACCAUCCUAGGGCCCAGAAGAUAAAGUUUGCUGCAACACAUAAAGUCACUGAAUGAACUGAAACUAAGCCUGAAAGCCAGGCACAAGGAACAGGGGGAAAGCAGAAGCCUGCAAAUGCUUUUUUCUUUUUUUUUUUUUCCACUUCAGUUGCAAUUUUUGGUUAGUGGAACUGAUUCUACAUUUGAACCAUGGUCUCGACCCUCAAACCACCUUUUGGUCUCUUCAUGUAACUCAGCCUACUAAGCAGAAUAUUUGGCCUGGAAGUGCCUUAUUUUCACAAACAUCUUGGAAGUCUUGUAUAUAUAUUGUAGACGCCUGUGACUUUCACCUGUUUUCUGCUUACAAAGAUUCCUGCUUCACACUGGAAGGAAACAGGAGGAGGAAGAAGAAAUCAACCCGCAAUCCUACAAUUUUUCAGGAAGAACAUAGGAGGAGGAAGAAUGAAUAAUUUCACAAGCCUAUGUGUCUGUUUUUUCAUCGCAAAUGUUUCCUACUACAUGAAGAAUCAGUCUCCCAUCCUGAAAGGCUUCUUAUC